ACGGAAGGCAGCAGUGGGGAAUAUUGCACAAUGGGCGAAAGCCUGAUGCAGCAACGCCGCGUGAGGGAAGACGGUUUUCGGAUUGUAAACCUCUGUCUUGGUGAAGAAUAAUGACAUUAGCCGAGGAGGAAGCCACGGCUAACUACGUGCCAGCAGCCGCGGUAAUACGUAGGUGGCAAGCGUUAUCCGGAAUUACUGGGUGUAAAGGGAGCGCAGGCGGGAAAGCAAGUCAGCGGUGAAAUGUAUGGGCUCAACCCAUGAACUGCCGUUGAAACUGUUUUUCUUGAGUGGAGUAGAGGCAAGCGGAAUUCCGAGUGUAGCGGUGAAAUGCGUAGAUAUUCGGAGGAACACCAGUGGCGAAGGCGGCUUGCUGGGCUCUAACUGACGCUGAGGCUCGAAAGUGUGGGGAGCAAACAGGAUUAGAUACCCUGGUA
Molecule: ribosomal RNA, 434 nt
Filed under: uncultured Oscillospiraceae bacterium
Lineage: Bacteria; Bacillati; Bacillota; Clostridia; Eubacteriales; Oscillospiraceae
Description: bacterial SSU rRNA
Rfam family: Bacterial small subunit ribosomal RNA
Source: RNAcentral